This 460-nucleotide ribosomal RNA is filed under the name uncultured bacterium. RNAcentral describes it as "partial 16S ribosomal RNA". It matches the Rfam family "Bacterial small subunit ribosomal RNA", at positions 338 to 795 of the family's 1533-position model. The record is from RNAcentral.
CCUACGGGAGGCAGCAGUGAGGAAUAUUGGUCAAUGGACGAGAGUCUGAACCAGCCAAGUAGCGUGAAGGAUGACUGCCCUAUGGGUUGUAAACUUCUUUUAUAUGGGAAUAAAACAGCGUAUGCAUACCCUCUUGUAUGUACCAUAUGAAUAAGGAUCGGCUAACUCCGUGCCAGCAGCCGCGGUAAGACGGAGGAUCCGAGCGUUAUCCGGAUUUAUUGGGUGUAAAGGGAGCGUAGGUGGAUUGUUAAGUCAGUUGUGAAAGUUUGCGGCUCAACCGUAAAAUUGCAGUUGAAACUGGCAGUCUUGAGUAAAGUAGAGGUGGGCGGAAUUCGUGGUGUAGCGGUGAAAUGCUUAGAUAUCACGAAGAACUCCGAUGGCGAAGGCAGCUCACUGGACUGCAACUGACACUGAUGCUCGAAAGUGUGGGUAGCAAACAGGAUUAGAUACCCUGGUAGUC